This 255-nucleotide ribosomal RNA is filed under the name uncultured bacterium. Its description in RNAcentral is "partial 16S ribosomal RNA". It matches the Rfam family "Bacterial small subunit ribosomal RNA", at positions 524 to 777 of the family's 1533-position model. The record is from RNAcentral.
UACGUAGGGCGCAAGCGUUGUCCGGAAUUAUUGGGCGUAAAGAGCUCGUAGGCGGUCUGUCGCGUCGGCUGUGAAAACCCGAGGCUCAACCUCGGGCCUGCAGUCGAUACGGGCAGACUAGAGUGCGUGUAGGGGAGACUGGAAUUCCUGGUGUAGCGGUGAAAUGCGUAGAUAUCGGGAGGAACACCAGUGGCGAAGGCGACUUCUUGGCCUGUUCUUGACGCUGAGGCGCGAAAGCUGGGGGAGCAAACGGGG